Molecule: non-coding RNA, 849 nt
Organism: Cinara cedri
Lineage: Eukaryota; Metazoa; Arthropoda; Insecta; Hemiptera; Aphididae
Source: the annotation of a GenBank genome assembly
GCAAUGAUUAAUAGGUCGUGUACAGAUAAAAAUUAAAUAAUUCGCUUACCUCAACAUCGCAUUACUACCUUACCUCAACAUCUCACCUACAACAGUGGCAUACGCAUCAGUAGUUUCGGCUUACUUUUGUAUGCCCGUGCGGCUUUUCCGACAUUAAGCGCAUUAUUAAUGCCGAUAGAUUACCUUUCGUCUUUCGCCAGACGUUCUGUUUAGUUUUGGUGAGUAUAAUAUAUUAAUAACAUUCGACGGGAUUGUCGUCUUUGUCGAAUGGAUAAAGGAAAAAAAAAAAUUAUCUCGAGAUAAACGCGAAAUAUAAUAAUACGUCUCAAAACUCCCGAGUCUUUAUACCUAUACGGUUUAAGGGAAUCUGUUCGACAAAAGCACUCGUCCGGAUGUAGUAUAAUAUUAUACUUGUAUAUUAUUAAUAAAAGCUAAAAAGCCCCUUAGCGAGUGAAGAUUCCGUUAUAUUAUGCUAUAAUAUUUUAGUCUGUACCUACUUAACAAAUAUACGACCAUUAUUAAUAAUAAUAUACAGUUGUUAGGGUUGUGUGAAACUUUAGAGAACCGAUAAAUGGUUAUAUAGGUUCUGUGAAAUUCGCAGAGCAUCUCAAUAACAAAAUAGUCUGUGUAUAAUCAUUUGAUUAUAAUUUCGUUAUCACGUAAUUACGUAAUUUAAUUUUCAAGUUAUUGCAGAUGCGUUAUUUUUGUGGUGACGUAGAAAGUAUAAAAUACAAAGGAAAUGCCAGUUUUUUAUCACUAUCGUCUUAAAUAAAAUAAGUGUGAAAUUUUUAAAAUUUUGAUUUUGAGAUUAAGCCAAGCAGGCAGUUAAUAAAUAGACCAAGAUCUCUU